UACGUAGGGUGCAAGCGUUGUCCGGAAUUAUUGGGCGUAAAGAGCUCGUAGGCGGCUCGUCACGUCGGCUGUGAAAACCCGGGGCUCAACCCCGGGCCUGCAGUCGAUACGGGCGAGCUAGAGUUCGGCAGGGGAGACUGGAAUUCCUGGUGUAGCGGUGAAAUGCGCAGAUAUCAGGAGGAACACCAGUGGCGAAGGCGACUUCCUGGCCUGUUCUUGACGCUGAGGCGCGAAAGCUAGGGGAGCAAACGGG
Molecule: ribosomal RNA, 253 nt
Filed under: uncultured bacterium
Lineage: Bacteria
Description: partial 16S ribosomal RNA
Rfam family: Bacterial small subunit ribosomal RNA
Source: RNAcentral